This 786-nucleotide ribosomal RNA is filed under the name uncultured organism. RNAcentral's name for it is "SSU rRNA". It matches the Rfam family "Bacterial small subunit ribosomal RNA", at positions 28 to 805 of the family's 1533-position model. The record is from RNAcentral.
GAUGAACGCUAGCGGCAGGCUUAACACAUGCAAGUCGAGGGGCAGCAUAAUGGAUAGCAAUAUCUAUGGUGGCGACCGGCGCACGGGUGCGUAACGCGUAUGCAACCUACCUUUAACAGGGGGAUAACACUGAGAAAUUGGUACUAAUACCCCAUAAUAUCAUAGAAGGCAUCUUUUAUGGUUGAAAAUUCCGAUGGUUAGAGAUGGGCAUGCGUUGUAUAAGCUAGUUGGUGGGGUAACGGCUCACCAAGGCAACGAUACAUAGGGGGACUGAGAGGUUAACCCCCCACACUGGUACUGAGACACGGACCAGACUCCUACGGGAGGCAGCAGUGAGGAAUAUUGGUCAAUGGGCGCAAGUCUGAACCAGCCAUGCCGCGUGCAGGAUGACGGCUCUAUGAGUUGUAAACUGCUUUUGUACGAGGGUAAACGCAGAUACGUGUAUCUGUCUGAAAGUAUCGUACGAAUAAGGAUCGGCCAACUCCGUGCCAGCAGCCGCGGUAAUACGGAGGAUUCAAGCGUUAUCCGGAUUUAUUGGGUUUAAAGGGUGCGUAGGCGGUUUGAUAAGUUAGAGGUGAAAUUUCGGGGCUCAACCCUGAACGUGCCUCUAAUACUGUUGAGCUAGAGAGUAGUUGCGGUAGGCGGAAUGUAUGGUGUAGCGGUGAAAUGCUUAGAGAUCAUACAGAACACCGAUUGCGAAGGCAGCUUACCAAACUAUAUCUGACGUUGAGGCACGAAAGCGUGGGGAGCAAACAGGAUUAGAUACCCUGGUAGUCCACGCAAUAA